Mobula hypostoma (lesser devil ray) is the source of this 473-nucleotide long non-coding RNA. RefSeq lists it as uncharacterized. The transcript has 4 exons. Lineage: Eukaryota; Metazoa; Chordata; Chondrichthyes; Myliobatiformes; Myliobatidae. The record is from RefSeq and is a predicted model, not a curated record.
GGAGUGUAUUUAUAGGGUCAGUGCUAGUUCGUUGUUGGUUUAGCUGUCCUGAUCCUUGUCUCGUGAAGUUAUGGCCAAGUAAUUCUGUGUUAUCCAAGACCUUGACUUGCAUGACUGACAGCAGUGAAAAUAGUGGAAACUACUGACACGAAGGCACACAGCCAGAGAUGGAGGACUUUCACUGUUGCCCUAAAUGCCAGUGGCAUAGUGGACCGUAAUUAACAAAAUUCCAAGUUUUCUUUAACCCUUCCGAGACUCUGAUUUUGUUCGUGAAUUUGAAGAUGCAGCAUGACAGGAUCCUAAUCAAAAUCAGUCAAUCAAGGAAAGGGAGAACAUAUUAAAAAUGGGAAGGCAAUGAAGAGUGAAAAUCUGAAUAAUUGACAGUGAUCUCACCUGCAUCUUCCCCAUACCAAUCGCUCUGGACAUCCAUCAUAUUCGAGAAGGUGCCCCCUCCAUCCUCCGGACGCCCCCCA